AGGUGUACAAUCUGGCUGCAGCAUCUGUCACCCCGAUGAUUGCCAGGCUGAUUUGGCUGAUGUGACUGCUAGGCAGGUGUCCCCUUCCUCUUUCACUGCUCCCUAUGCAUCCCUCACAAAGCCAGCACUAGGUUGAAUAGGAUGAACUUCACUUAAUUGAGAAGGACCAGUCUUUGAGGUCUAUGAGUAGUUGUACUCCCCUGCUAGAACUUCUGAACAAGCUCUCAAUGUCUACAUACACCUUUUUAAAAUUUUAAACCAUUAAGUACAUAUUCCUAACCUAG
This 284-nucleotide small nuclear RNA is filed under the name Microtus ochrogaster (prairie vole). RNAcentral's name for it is "7SK RNA (ENSMOCG00000010272.1)". It matches the Rfam family "7SK RNA". Rfam says of the family: 7SK was discovered as an abundant small nuclear RNA in the mid-70s but a possible function has only recently been suggested. Lineage: Eukaryota; Metazoa; Chordata; Mammalia; Rodentia; Cricetidae. The record is from RNAcentral.